CACGUGUUAGCAUACCGCUGUUUUUAUCCAGGUGUAUUGAUUUGCUCUAAAUUAAGAUAAGAUAUCUUUUAGACAAAUUAAAAACAAAUUCUGCUCAUAAAAUAUGGUAGAUUCUCUUAUUGGAUGGUUCCAGGAAAUGACUAAUGAACUGGUUUAAAUGUUAUUUUAUUUAAAAAUUACAUAAGAAUAGAUCUUGAUUACCUAGGAGAUCUAGCCAGCAUUGAAAGG
Pelobates cultripes (western spadefoot toad) is the source of this 228-nucleotide non-coding RNA. Lineage: Eukaryota; Metazoa; Chordata; Amphibia; Anura; Pelobatidae. The record is from the annotation of a GenBank genome assembly.